This 1692-nucleotide long non-coding RNA is filed under the name Macaca fascicularis (crab-eating macaque). RNAcentral describes it as "lncRNA (ENSMFAG00000062253.1)". The record is from RNAcentral. Lineage: Eukaryota; Metazoa; Chordata; Mammalia; Primates; Cercopithecidae.
UUUUUUUUUUUAGGUUGAAAUAGAGGUCUGGAAACCAAGUCUUUAUAGGAGCAUUCUCGGAGGUCUUAUUUAAGACCUCUUGAUUAUUAAAAUUAAUUAUCUGUCAGGUCAGGCUAAAUGGCCGGUGGGGGUUAGCGUCAAAAACUACACUAGAGACGGCGCAGGGAAGAAGGGCAAACAAUAAGCAAGGAGUUAGAUACGAGAGAGUCUUAUCUUGAGCGGGUCCGCGGAGCGUCGGAGUUUCCAUGUCUCAAGUGGUGUUGGUCCGGACGUCUCUGGAGCAGCCUUGGCGUGGGAUGCGUGGAUCUAAGUGGAGAUUCCGUCAACCUUUAUGGCUGUGGGCGUGGUCAGGAGAACAAUGUAGGGUCCUUUCCACCGAGGCUUUAGUCCUUGAGUACGGUGCCGUCUAACGUAGACAGAGUCUCCCACCUGGAAGGGGUGACUGGUCUGUGGAUGUCCUGGUUGGUACAGUUCUGCCAAGGGGGCCCAGAUUUGGGCCUGUACUGCUUGGAGUCCUUUUAGCCGAGCCUGUAGGUCAGUUUUAGGAUCGGAGGGGGAGAAGGAGUUAAGCAAGGUUGACAAAGGGGGAGGUCCUCCGUAGAGGAUUUCAUAUGGAGUGAGCCCAAAACGGUUAGGUGUAUUUUGGGCCUUUAACAGAGUUAAGGAUAGGAGGCAUCUCCAAUCUUUUAAACCAGUCUCUAAGGUCAAUUUAGUAAGGGUCUCUUUUAUUGUUCUAUUCAUUCUUUUUACCUGUCCUGAGCUCUGGGGUCUAUAGGCACAAUGUAAUUUCCAAUUAAUCCCCAAUAUCCUGGUGAGCCCCUGACUUACCUGAGAAACGAAGGCCGGCCCAUUAUUUGACCUAAUUACCUUGGGAAGUCUGAAUCUAGGAAAGAUUUCUUCUAAAAUUUUCUUGGCUACUAUGUGUGCCGUUUCUUGCCGGGUGGGGUAGGCUUUUACCCAUCCUGAAAAGGUAUCUACAAACACCAGUAAGUACUUAUAUCCAGCAUAGUGAGGUUUUACUUCAGUGAAGUCUAUUUCCUAAUAGACUCCUGGGCGGUUACCACAAGUUCGUUUCCUUUCUGGCACUCGGGUAGCCCCAGUGUUUACCUGCUGACAGACCUUACAGGCAGAUGUCACUUGUUCUACGAGGGUACUUGCCUUUGGGAUUAGAAAGUCAGUUUUUUCAAUCAGUAAUUUUAGCUUUUGAUUACUCAAGUGUGUCCAGGCAUGCAUCUGCUGGAUCAUUGCCAGGGCCUCCUUUUGGGGAAGGACUAUUUUUCCUCCUUUUUCCUAGUUUUUAGUGUCUUUGUUCUUUAUAGCCCUUAUGGCUUUUGCUUUUUCCUGGUCUUCUGGGGUAUAAGUAUGUUCAAUAGUUAUGUGGCUGGUUUCAUUCCACCGCGACUGGAUCCUGUCCUUUCUGAUGCCCGGGGCAGUGAAUUAUAGCCACUUCUUGAGGAAGAAAAAGGGCUUUUAAUAAGGCAAUUAUUUCAACUUUGUUCUUGAUUUCCUUUCUUUCUGAGGUUAGGAGACCUCUUCUUUCAUAGAUACUUCCAUGAGUAUGAGCCGUUGCAAAGGCAUACCGGCUAUCAGUAUAAAUGUUAGCUUUCUUUCCCUUGGACAGCUCUAGGGCCUUGGUUAGUGCUAUUAACUCAGCCUUUUGUGCAGACGUGCCAGGAGGUAGUGAUUGUGCCC